CAGCCGCCGCGGUAAUACGAAGGGGGCUAGCGUUGCUCGGAAUGACUGGGCGUAAAGGGCGCGUAGGCGGCAUGUACAGUCAGACGUGAAAUUCCUGGGCUUAACCUGGGGGCUGCGUUUGAUACGUGCAGGCUAGAGUGGGGAAGAGGGUUGUGGAAUUCCCAGUGUAGAGGUGAAAUUCGUAGAUAUUGGGAAGAACACCGGUGGCGAAGGCGGCAACCUGGUCCUUGACUGACGCUGAGGCGCGAAAGCGUGGGGAGCAAACAGGAUUAGAUACCCCAGUAGUCCCUGUCUCUUAUAC
Molecule: ribosomal RNA, 301 nt
Filed under: uncultured bacterium
Lineage: Bacteria
Description: partial 16S ribosomal RNA
Rfam family: Bacterial small subunit ribosomal RNA
Source: RNAcentral